Long non-coding RNA from Homo sapiens (human), 1132 nucleotides. RefSeq lists it as uncharacterized. NCBI's taxonomy places the organism in Eukaryota, Metazoa, Chordata, Mammalia, Primates, Hominidae. The record is from RefSeq and is a predicted model, not a curated record. The transcript has 6 exons.
GACAAAAUCCAAGGAGCACGUUUGAGCUACUGGAAUUCCUGAGUUCAUUGGGAAAAUGCUGACCUGACUUUCCUCUUCUGCCUUCUAGGAUGGGUUGGGCUGGGCUGGACCUCAGUCUGGGAGAUGCAUUAAAGUGGAGAGACUGACUUCUCUUAAAGAUUCUUCUUUGUUUCAGGGGACAGUUCUUAAGGACAGAGUAAUAGAGUCAGACAGGAUUGGGGGAUAUCGUGAGAUGUUGAGAUAAAGAUGCUUCAGUUAAAGGCCUGGGCUCUGAUAUGCAAGUGGCCCUGGUACAGGAAGACCUAAGGGACACAGGGAACUUGAUAACUGCUUGUCAAGACCCAGUUCAAAGCAGAUAUGCUUAGAGAGCUUCCUGACAUGAGGGCAGAACUUUGAUCUCUCAGGAGGUUGGCCUCUGUGAUACCAAGUCCGUCCAAGUCCUCCCAGGUGCAUUUGAAGAUUGACAGGAUAGAAACCAGUUUCCUGGAAAAAGGAGGGCCUGCGGUUCCCAAGGUAGCCCCAGUGGGGCAUGAUUCCCACAAAAGCAAGUAAGUGAAUAUCAUAGACUGCCAGCAGGUCAAGAGUGCAAUGUUUAAAGGCUGAUCAGCAGAAGAUCACCUGGAAGGUGACCCUGAGGCAGAGACUGGAAGGAGGAGACCGAGCUCACUGAGGCACAGAGGCUCUUCCAAGCAGGAGAACAGCAUGUGCAAAGGUCCAGGGAGGAGGCCUGAGAGCUAACAGAGAAGAGGUGAGCAGGAGCAAGGUUGGGAGCCCUUCCCUUGAGUACUGACCAGCAACCUCCCCAUCCAGGACUCAAGGAGUCUCAGAACCUCAAGCCUUAUAGAUAAUCUGGGUGCACGGGAUACACACUGGGCCUUGGGCACAGCAUGAAGCAUCAGGGAUAACUGAAUGCGGUGGAGAGAGGGGAUGUGCGCAGGCAGCAAAGGUAGCCCACCAUAGCCUAGCUUCUCGCAACCCUCUCUGGAAAGCUGGAUUGGGACAAUGAGACUGAGACCUCAGGACAUGUGAACAUGAGCCAUACGGGAGGUCUGGAGCAGCCCCUAUGUGACCUACAUCCUUAACCUGGCCACUGUUGAUAUGGUCAACCUCUCCUGUGUAACUGUGAUCCUGC